AAGUCGUAACAAGGUUUCCGUAGGUGAACCUGCGGAAGGAUCAUUACAAAUCCGUGAGUGUGGUAUGAGAGAUGUUGAUCCGUGAUGUUGGGAAGAUAUAGUGGUGUGUGGUGUGGUAGAGACGAGAAAGGGUGGAUUCUGUUUGGCAUCCCUCUCAAUCUGUCUAUUAUAUCCCACUAUUAUAUCACCCAAAAACCCUAACCCUAGUGAUGCAUGUUGUCGAAUGAGAUUAUACACACAGAAACAGACACACAACUUAUAACAAUGGAUCUCUAGGCUCUU
Molecule: unclassified non-coding RNA, 282 nt
Filed under: fungal sp.
Lineage: Eukaryota; Fungi
Description: partial internal transcribed spacer region
Rfam family: Eukaryotic small subunit ribosomal RNA (bases 1-46)
Source: RNAcentral